This 191-nucleotide small nuclear RNA is filed under the name Callithrix jacchus (white-tufted-ear marmoset). Its description in RNAcentral is "U2 spliceosomal RNA (ENSCJAG00000078488.1)". It matches the Rfam family "U2 spliceosomal RNA". From Rfam's summary of the family: U2 is a small nuclear RNA (snRNA) component of the spliceosome (involved in pre-mRNA splicing). Lineage: Eukaryota; Metazoa; Chordata; Mammalia; Primates; Cebidae. The record is from Rfam by way of RNAcentral.
AUCGCUUCUCAGCCUUUUGGCUAAGAUCAAGUGUAGUAUCUGUUCUUAUCCGUUUAGUAUCUGAUAUGUCCUCUAUCCAAGGACAAUAUAUUAAAUGUGUUGUUGGAGGUGGGAGAUGGAAUAGGAGCUUGCUCCAUCUACUCCAUGCAUUGACCUGGUAUUGCAGUACUUCCAGGAAUGGUGCACCCCCU